UACGUAGGGGGCAAGCGUUAUCCGGAUUUACUGGGUGUAAAGGGAGCGUAGACGGCCAGGCAAGUCUGAUGUGAAAACCCGGGGCUCAACCCCGGGACUGCAUUGGAAACUGCCGAACUAGAGUGUCGGAGAGGCAAGUGGAAUUCCUAGUGUAGCGGUGAAAUGCGUAGAUAUUAGGAGGAACACCAGUGGCGAAGGCGGCUUACUGGACCGUGACUGACGUUGAGGCUCGAAAGCGUGGGGAGCAAACAGG
RNAcentral lists this ribosomal RNA (253 nucleotides) under uncultured Dorea sp. Its description in RNAcentral is "partial 16S ribosomal RNA". It matches the Rfam family "Bacterial small subunit ribosomal RNA", at positions 524 to 776 of the family's 1533-position model. Lineage: Bacteria; Bacillati; Bacillota; Clostridia; Lachnospirales; Lachnospiraceae. The record is from RNAcentral.